UUACCAUGCAGUCGAACGGCAGCACGACCUAGCUUGCUACGAAGGUGGCGAGUGGCGAACGGGUGAGUAACGCGUAGGAAUAUACCUUAGAGAGGGGGACAACCUGGGGAAACUCAGGCUAAUACCGCGUACGUUCUUCGGAAUAAAGCUGGGGACCGCAAGGCCUGGCGCUUUAAGAAUAGCCUGCGUCCGAUUAGCUAGUUGGUGGGGUAAGGGCCUACCAAGGCGACGAUCGGUAGCUGGUCUGAGAGGAUGAUCAGCCACACUGGGACUGAGACACGGCCCAGACUCCUACGGGAGGCAGCAGUGGGGAAUAUUGGACAAUGGGGGCAACCCUGAUCCAGCAAUGCCGCGUGUGUGAAGAAGGCCUGAGGGUUGUAAAGCACUUUCAGUGGGGAGGAGGGUUGAUAGGUUAAGAGCUGAUUAACUGGACGUUACCCACAGAAGAAGCACCGGCUAACUCCGUGCCAGCAGCCGCGGUAAUACGGAGGGUGCGAGCGUUAAUCGGAAUUACUGGGCGUAAAGGGUGCGUAGGUGGUUUGAUAAGUUAACUGUGAAAGCCCUGGGCUUAACCUGGGAGGGUCAGUUAAGACUGUUGGACUAGAGUAUGGGAGAGGGUAGUGGAAUUUCCGGUGUAGCGGUGAAAUGCGUAGAGAUCGGAAGGAACACCAGUGGCGAAGGCGGCUACCUGGCCUAAUACUGACACUGA
This 709-nucleotide ribosomal RNA is filed under the name uncultured bacterium. RNAcentral's name for it is "bacterial SSU rRNA". It matches the Rfam family "Bacterial small subunit ribosomal RNA", at positions 49 to 749 of the family's 1533-position model. The record is from RNAcentral.